Molecule: ribosomal RNA, 476 nt
Filed under: uncultured bacterium
Lineage: Bacteria
Description: partial 16S ribosomal RNA
Rfam family: Bacterial small subunit ribosomal RNA
Source: RNAcentral
GAUGAACGCUGGCGGCGUGCUUAACACAUGCAAGUCGAGCGAGUGAGUUCUUCGGAACGAUCUAGCGGCGGACGGGUGAGUAACACGUGGGCAACCUGCCUCAUAGAGGGGAAUAGCCUCCCGAAAGGGAGAUUAAUACCGCAUAAAAUUAUCGAGUGGCAUCACAUGAUAAUCAAAGGAGUAAUCCGCUAUGAGAUGGGCCCGCGGCGCAUUAGCUAGUUGGUGAGGUAACGGCUCACCAAGGCGACGAUGCGUAGCCGACCUGAGAGGGUGAUCGGCCACAUUGGGACUGGGGCGCGGCCCAGACUCCUACGGGAGGCAGCAGUGGGGAAUAUUGCACAAUGGGGGAAACCCUGAUGCAGCAACGUCGCGUGAGUGAUGAAGGUCUUCGGAUUGUAAAGCUCUAUCUUUGGGGACGAUAAUGACGGUACCCAAGGAGGAAGCCACGGCUAACUACGUGCCAGCAGCCGCGGUAA